RNAcentral lists this long non-coding RNA (398 nucleotides) under Eucalyptus grandis. RNAcentral's name for it is "long non-coding RNA (EGRA_LNC006826)". The record is from RNAcentral. Lineage: Eukaryota; Viridiplantae; Streptophyta; Magnoliopsida; Myrtales; Myrtaceae.
ACUACACUAUUGCACACACAACCCGCCGCCGGACCUGGGCCGCAUAGGAUCAUCUAGGAUGGUAUUGAGAUGGAUACCACUUCGACCGCAUGCCCGCGGUACGAGUCGCCCAUCUCAAUCUCGAAGUUUCUUUUCUGGCGUCAGGAGUACCUACCUCGGUUCGCAUGCCCGCAACCCAGGUCGGCUCUUUGACCAAGCCGAAGUCAUGAGGACCCGACUUAGUUCGCACGCCCGCGGCUAGUCUGAUCAUUCUUGUGGCUUCACUUUGUUAAGCCUUAUAGAUUAGAAAUCGAGCCACUUACCAUGCGCAUGUCUAUGUGAUUGCCCUUUGUUUAUUGGUAAAGUAAGUCUUCUAAAUUCGCACUCUUGCAAUCUACUUACUUUAUUAUAUCAUUUUG